CUCCCCGCCCCCCAUCUCCCCCCAGCAUGGAGCGGUGCGCCCCUGCGGGGCCAGAAACGCAUCACUGGAAUCAAUAAGCGGUGCGGGCAGACGGGCUGAGGAGGCUGGAAUGAGAAGCACCUGGAUCCCGGAACAUCACACAGCUGACAUGUCGACUGAUCUGCUGCACCUCCAUGUCUGGAUGGAAGCAGGAAAAACCAUUUGGAGCUCCAUGUAUUUCUGCGUCGGGUCUCCGCGGAGAGCUGCACCCUAUAGCACAUGUGGGACCUGGCAGACGAUGAGGCGGAAACGUGAAGCUCUGACAGCAGCCGGAGCCGCGGCGUGAACAACGCUCCUUUAUUAUCGUCGUUAUUAUUCAGGACAUCUGAGAUACAAAAAAAAAAGCACUUUUCACAGCGAUAAAAACAGGAUUAUGUUGCCAACAAAAACAGCCAUCAAAUAUAAUUUCAGUGAGUAUUAGACGCAUGCAUUAAAAGGAAUGGAGGUGUUAGCAUUUAAAUAGGAUAUUUGACUGCACCUGUCUAGUUGCAAAAAACACAAUUUCACUUGAAUAAAUAAGAUUUCUGGUGACAGAUUUCAACCAA
Long non-coding RNA from Poecilia latipinna (sailfin molly), 584 nucleotides. RefSeq lists it as uncharacterized. Lineage: Eukaryota; Metazoa; Chordata; Actinopteri; Cyprinodontiformes; Poeciliidae. The record is from RefSeq and is a predicted model, not a curated record. The transcript has 2 exons.